Molecule: ribosomal RNA, 253 nt
Filed under: uncultured bacterium
Lineage: Bacteria
Description: partial 16S ribosomal RNA
Rfam family: Bacterial small subunit ribosomal RNA
Source: RNAcentral
UACGAAGGGGGCUAGCGUUGCUCGGAAUUACUGGGCGUAAAGCGCGCGCAGGCGGUCUUCCAAGUCAGUGGUGAAAGCCCGGAGCUCAACUCCGGAACUGCCAUUGAAACUGUUCGACUUGAGUACGAGAGAGGUGAGUGGAAUUCCCAGUGUAGAGGUGAAAUUCGUAGAUAUUGGGAAGAACACCGGUGGCGAAGGCGGCUCACUGGCUCGUAACUGACGCUCAGGCGCGACAGCGUGGGGAUCAAACAGG